Molecule: ribosomal RNA, 253 nt
Filed under: uncultured bacterium
Lineage: Bacteria
Description: partial 16S ribosomal RNA
Rfam family: Bacterial small subunit ribosomal RNA
Source: RNAcentral
UACGGGGGGAGCAAGCGUUGUUCGGAUUUACUGGGCGUAAAGCGCGCGUAGGCGGCUCUUCAAGUCGAGUGUGAAAGCUCCAGGCUUAACCUGGGAAUUGCGCUUGAUACUGUUGAGCUAGAGUGUGGAAGGGGCUACUGGAAUUCCUGGUGUAGCGGUGAAAUGCGCAGAUAUCAGGAGGAACACCGAUGGCGAAGGCAGGUCUCUGGGCCACUACUGACGCUGAGAAGCGAAAGCAUGGGGAGCGAACAGG